AUUGAACGCUGGCGGCAUGCCUUACACAUGCAAGUCGAACGGCAGCGGACCUUCGGGUGCCGGCGAGUGGCGAACGGGUGAGUAAUAUAUCGGAACGUACCUUUCAGUGGGGGAUAACGUAGCGAAAGUUACGCUAAUACCGCAUAUUCUGUGAGCAGGAAAGCAGGGGAUCGCAAGACCUUGCGCUGACUGAGCGGCCGAUAUCAGAUUAGCUAGUUGGUGAGGUAAAGGCUCACCAAGGCGACGAUCUGUAGCGGGUCUGAGAGGAUGAUCCGCCACACUGGAACUGAGACACGGUCCAGACUCCUACGGGAGGCAGCAGUGGGGAAUUUUGGACAAUGGGCGCAAGCCUGAUCCAGCCAUGCCGCGUGAGUGAAGAAGGCC
Molecule: ribosomal RNA, 384 nt
Filed under: uncultured bacterium
Lineage: Bacteria
Description: bacterial SSU rRNA
Rfam family: Bacterial small subunit ribosomal RNA
Source: RNAcentral